Molecule: ribosomal RNA, 548 nt
Filed under: uncultured bacterium
Lineage: Bacteria
Description: bacterial SSU rRNA
Rfam family: Bacterial small subunit ribosomal RNA
Source: RNAcentral
UGGGGAAUUUUGGACAAUGGGCGAAAGCCUGAUCCAGCAAUGCCGCGUGUGGGAAGAAGGCCUUCGGGUUGUAAACCACUUUUGUACGGAACGAAACGGUUCGCUUUAAUACAGUGGGCUAAUGACGGUACCGUAAGAAUAAGCACCGGCUAACUACGUGCCAGCAGCCGCGGUAAUACGUAGGGUGCGAGCGUUAAUCGGAAUUACUGGGCGUAAAGCGUGCGCAGGCGGUUAUAUAAGACAGUUGUGAAAUCCCCGGGCUCAACCUGGGAAUUGCAUCUGUGACUGUAUAGCUAGAGUACGGUAGAGGGGGAUGGAAUUCCGCGUGUAGCAGUGAAAUGCGUAGAUAUGCGGAGGAACACCGAUGGCGAAGGCAAUCCCCUGGACCUGUACUGACGCUCAUGCACGAAAGCGUGGGGAGCAAACAGGAUUAGAUACCCUGGUAGUCCACGCCCUAAACGAUGUCAACUGGUUGUUGGGUGCAUUAGUACUCAGUAACGAAGCUAACGCGUGAAGUUGACCGCCUGGGGAGUACGGCCGCAAGGUUG